GAAAUGAAUUAUUCUUCAGAGGACAGGUCAAAUGGGAAGCACUUAUGGAUGAACUCUUGUGGAUUGGCUUGUCUAAAGCCUAAGAGGAUGCUCUGCUGGAGGAUUGAUAACUAUUAUACAUUGUGAUGACUUCCGAGAACUUCUUCCAAGGGAAGCAACUGUUAAGUGUCUAGUUGGUGCAGGCUUCUUCCCUGAUGAGAAGGAUAUCCUUGGCAAUAAAUCCGUGAUAUCCUUUUAUCAUGAUGUUGUCCAGCUUCAGAGUGUUGUGAAGAGCUUGCCAGGAGAUCGCAGUACCAGUAUGGAACCAGCUGGGAUGUGUAAAUGCCCCCUAAUUUUAUAUUUUACCCUAUCACAACCAUAUGAUAGGAAGUCGGUAUAUCCAGACGCAACAUAUCUAGUACCAGAUGGAUCAGAUCCUCAAGGCCACCGGAGAAGAUGCGGAUUGAGCAUUUACAAUUGUGAAGCUGAUCUGAAGGCUACCUGAUAGUUUCAAGUUUAUGUUUAUGUUAUGGUGGUCAUUUAAAUAAGUUCGGUCUUUUGUCUAUUUUUAGUGAUUACGUUUUCUUCCCUUGAAACUGAAGUUAAGAGACUCUAUAUAUGAAAUGUCAUCAUCUAGCCAGUUUGGCAUUCUAGUAAGAAAAUACGAUUCAUUUUGUAUGUUGAUGCUUAAUGUCAAGUUACAAGCUCUUUGCUUAGAGAAGGAUGUGAAAUUGAGAUGUUUAUGGAUUUUGGGAUUGUUGUU
Long non-coding RNA from Neltuma alba, 742 nucleotides. RefSeq lists it as uncharacterized. The transcript has 4 exons. NCBI's taxonomy places the organism in Eukaryota, Viridiplantae, Streptophyta, Magnoliopsida, Fabales, Fabaceae. The record is from RefSeq and is a predicted model, not a curated record.